RNAcentral lists this ribosomal RNA (219 nucleotides) under uncultured bacterium. RNAcentral describes it as "partial 16S ribosomal RNA". It matches the Rfam family "Bacterial small subunit ribosomal RNA", at positions 289 to 525 of the family's 1533-position model. The record is from RNAcentral.
GGUCUGAGAGGAUGAUCAGUCACAUUGGGACUGAGACACGGCCCAAACUCCUACGGGAGGCAGCAGUGGGGAAUAUUGGACAAUGGGCGCAAGCCUGAUCCAGCCAUGCCGCGUGAGUGAUGAAGGCCCUAGGGUUGUAAAGCUCUUUCACCGGUGAAGAUAAUGACGGUAACCGGAGAAGAAGCCCCGGCUAACUUCGUGCCAGCAGCCGCGGUAAUA